This 74-nucleotide transfer RNA is filed under the name Chamaesiphon minutus PCC 6605. RNAcentral's name for it is "tRNA-Arg (CCT) (tRNA-Arg-CCT-1-1)". It matches the Rfam family "tRNA". From Rfam's summary of the family: Transfer RNA (tRNA) molecules are approximately 80 nucleotides in length. Their secondary structure includes four short double-helical elements and three loops (D, anti-codon, and T loops). Further hydrogen bonds mediate the characteristic L-shaped molecular structure. tRNAs have two regions of fundamental functional importance: the anti-codon, which is responsible for specific mRNA codon recognition, and the 3' end, to which the tRNAs corresponding amino acid is attached (by aminoacyl-tRNA synthetases). tRNAs cope with the degeneracy of the genetic code in two manners: having more than one tRNA (with a specific anti-codon) for a particular amino acid; and 'wobble' base-pairing, i.e. permitting non-standard base-pairing at the 3rd anti-codon position. Lineage: Bacteria; Bacillati; Cyanobacteriota; Cyanophyceae; Gomontiellales; Chamaesiphonaceae. RNAcentral also lists the same sequence under 1 other name. The record is from Rfam by way of RNAcentral.
GGGGCUGUAGCUCAGUAGGAUAGAGCGAUCGCCUCCUAAGCGAUAGGCCGUGGGUUCGAUUCCCGCCAGUCCCG